Molecule: long non-coding RNA, 363 nt
Filed under: Salmo salar (Atlantic salmon)
Lineage: Eukaryota; Metazoa; Chordata; Actinopteri; Salmoniformes; Salmonidae
Description: lncRNA (ENSSSAG00000109192.1)
Source: RNAcentral
GUGGCUCUCGGAGGUGAACUACAGUAACAUUUCAGUUUGUUAUAGUGUCACUAGGAGUUGAACUACUGUAAGAGUUCAGUGUGUUAUAGUGUCUCUAUGAGGUGAACUAAUGUAACAGUUCAGUGUGUUAUAGUGUCACUUGGAGGUGAAAUACUCUCACAGUUCAGUGUGUUUUAGUGUCUCUAUCUUGGAGGUGAACUACAGUAACAAUUCUGUGUGUUAAAAUGUCUCUAGGAGGUGAACUACUGUAACAGUUCAGUGUGGUAUAGUUUCUCUAGGAGGUGAACUACUGUAUCAGUUCACUGUGUUAUAGGGUCAAAAUCUAGGAGGUGAUCUACUGUAACACUUCAGUGUGUUAAAGUG